AGAGUUUGAUCAUGGCUCAGAUUAAACGCUGGCGGCAUGCCUUACACAUGCAAGUCGAACGGCAGCACGGGGGCAACCCUGGUGGCGAGUGGCGAACGGGUGAGUAAAGCAUCGGAACGUGCCCUGGAGUGGGGGAUAACGUAGCGAAAGUUACGCUAAUACCGCAUAUUCUGUGAGCAGGAAAGCAGGGGAUCGCAAGACCUUGCGCUCUGGGAGCGGCCGAUGUCGGAUUAGCUAGUUGGUGGGGUAAAGGCCUACCAAGGCGACGAUCCGUAGCGGGUCUGAGAGGAUGAUCCGCCACACUGGGACUGAGACACGGCCCAGACUCCUACGGGAGGCAGCAGUGGGGAAUUUUGGACAAUGGGCGAAAGCCUGAUCCAGCCAUGCCGCGUGAGUGAAGAAGGCCUUCGGGUUGUAAAGCUCUUUCGGUGGGGAAGAAAUUGCAUGGGUUAAUACCCUGUGUAGAUGACGGUACCUGGAGAAGAAGCACCGGCUAACUACAUG
This 504-nucleotide ribosomal RNA is filed under the name uncultured bacterium. Its description in RNAcentral is "bacterial SSU rRNA". It matches the Rfam family "Bacterial small subunit ribosomal RNA", at positions 8 to 507 of the family's 1533-position model. The record is from RNAcentral.